RNAcentral lists this RNase P RNA (408 nucleotides) under Candidatus Photodesmus blepharonis. RNAcentral describes it as "Candidatus Photodesmus blepharus Bacterial RNase P class A". It matches the Rfam family "Bacterial RNase P class A". Rfam says of the family: Ribonuclease P (RNase P) is a ubiquitous endoribonuclease, found in archaea, bacteria and eukarya as well as chloroplasts and mitochondria. Its best characterised activity is the generation of mature 5'-ends of tRNAs by cleaving the 5'-leader elements of precursor-tRNAs. The record is from Rfam by way of RNAcentral. Lineage: Bacteria; Pseudomonadati; Pseudomonadota; Gammaproteobacteria; Vibrionales; Vibrionaceae.
GGAGUUAGCUGGAUAGCCGCUGCUUCAUGAAUUUCCUGAAAAUGGUAAUUGUAUGGAAGGAGAGGAAAGUCCGGGCUCCACAGGGCAGGGUGCCAGUUAAUGUCUGGGAGGCGAAAGCUUACGACAAGUGCAACAGAGAGAAUAUCGCCGAUGGCUAAAUUUCUUAAGAAAAGAAAAUAGUGCACAGGCAAGGGUGAAAAGGUGCGGUAAGAGCGCACCGUGCGGCUGGUAACAGUUCGUAGCAAGGUAAACUCCACCCGGAGCAAGACCAAGUAGGCUUCUAUUAUAUUGCGUUGCCCGCGUAAGGAAGCGGGUAGGUUGCUUGAACCAGUGAGUGAUUGCUGGUCUAGAUGGAUGGCUAUCAUCGCGCGAGCGGUACAGAACCCGGCUUAUAUGUUGACUCCAUUU